Triticum aestivum (bread wheat) is the source of this 135-nucleotide non-coding RNA. Lineage: Eukaryota; Viridiplantae; Streptophyta; Magnoliopsida; Poales; Poaceae. The record is from Rfam.
UAUCUACUCCCUCCGUCCGGAAAUACUUGUCAUCAAAAUGGAUAAAAGGAGAUGUAUCUAGACGUAUUUUAGUUAUAGAUACGUCCCUUUUUAUCUCUUUCGGUGACAAGUAUUUUGGGACGGAGGGAGUAACAU